RNAcentral lists this long non-coding RNA (401 nucleotides) under Rattus norvegicus (Norway rat). RNAcentral describes it as "long non-coding RNA NONRATT008041". Lineage: Eukaryota; Metazoa; Chordata; Mammalia; Rodentia; Muridae. The record is from RNAcentral.
CGAGUUUCCCACCCCUCCCAGGUCCACAGUUCGUGUUUUCCACCAGAGUGUCAGACACUGCUACAUGCCAGAGCAGCAUGGGAAACAGCAGGAUCUGGGACAAAUGCCGUGUUUCCCUGUCUCGUCUCUGGGUACCCAGGUGCCACCAGGAUUCCACCAGGAGAGGAAGUCAGAAACCGGUCUGAGGUCCACCUUUCCCCUUGGAGCAUCUGCACGCCAGGCAGGAAGGGGAAGGCAGAGCCUAGGAUGAGAGGGAUCCUGCCUGAUUUGGAGCAAGUUCCUUACCAUACCUGAAGGACUAGAGAAGAGAAAAGCCCUCCUUCAGGAGUCUUAGAUGUGGCUCUUUUAGGCAAAGGGUCUCCCCCAUGGAAAUUUUUUAAUGAAGCAGCUCUCUGAGACGA